GCCCUGCUGGCGCAAUGGUAGCGCGUUAGACUUCUAAUCUAAAGGUUGUGGGUUCGACCCCCACGUAGGGCU
Molecule: non-coding RNA, 72 nt
Organism: Aspergillus pseudoviridinutans
Lineage: Eukaryota; Fungi; Ascomycota; Eurotiomycetes; Eurotiales; Aspergillaceae
Source: the annotation of a RefSeq genome assembly